This 257-nucleotide ribosomal RNA is filed under the name uncultured bacterium. Its description in RNAcentral is "partial 16S ribosomal RNA". It matches the Rfam family "Bacterial small subunit ribosomal RNA", at positions 524 to 776 of the family's 1533-position model. The record is from RNAcentral.
UACUGGGGGGGCUAGCGUUAUUCAUAUUUAAUUGGUGUAAAGUGUGCGUAGAUGAUGUAAUUAAUUUAAAUUUAAAGCCCAAUGAAAUAUUGGGAAAGUUUAUUUAAAUAUUGUUAUGUUUUGUGUAAAAAUAAGGAUAUGGGAAUUCCUAGUGUAACGGGGUAAAAUCUAUAAAAAUUAGGAAGAAUAUCAGUUGGCGAAGGCGAGUAUCUGGUUUUUACAAACAUUGAGGCACGAAGGCAUGGGUAUCAAAUGGG